AUUGAACGCUGGCGGCAGGCCUAACACAUGCAAGUCGAACGGUAGCACAGAGGAGCUUGCUCCUUGGGUGACGAGUGGCGGACGGGGGAGUAAUGUCUGGGAAACUGCCCGAUGGAGGGGGAUAACUACUGGAAACGGUAGCUAAUACCGCAUAACGUCUUCGGACCAAAGUGGGGGACCUUCGGGCCUCACACCAUCGGAUGUGCCCAGAUGGGAUUAGCUAGUAGGUGGGGUAAUGGCUCACCUAGGCGACGAUCCCUAGCUGGUCUGAGAGGAUGACCAGCCACACUGGAACUGAGACACGGUCCAGACUCCUACGGGAGGCAGCAGUGGGGAAUAUUGCACAAUGGGCGCAAGCCUGAUGCAGCCAUGCCGCGUGUAUGAAGAAGGCCCUCGGGUUGUAAAGUACUUUCAGCGGGGAGGAAGGCGUUAAGGUUAAUAACCUUGGCGAUUGACGUUACCCGCAGAAGAAGCACCGGCUAACUCCGUGCCAGCAGCCGCGGUAA
RNAcentral lists this ribosomal RNA (506 nucleotides) under uncultured bacterium. RNAcentral's name for it is "partial 16S ribosomal RNA". It matches the Rfam family "Bacterial small subunit ribosomal RNA", at positions 30 to 523 of the family's 1533-position model. The record is from RNAcentral.